CUAAAAUCUUCUGGGCUAUUGGAUAUAACAAUACAUUGGAUGUUAAAUCUAUGCUCUGGAUCUCGUCUUUGAAAGAAACAAAUUAUUUUUAAAAUAAAUAAAUAUAAGAACAAAAAUAGUUGAAUUGGAUUUAAAAGGGUACGCCAAGGCUAUAAAUUCUUUGAAUUAUUGAAACUAAAUCUUAAGCUCUAAUUUACAAUUAAAGUUACUUUUCAACAUGUACAUAAGUUGCAACAUGUACAUAAGUGUAGUUAUCGUAGGAUUGCACUUUGUAAUUAUAUAAUUUAAGAACAACAAGUACUAAAUUUAAAGAGGAAA
Molecule: long non-coding RNA, 318 nt
Organism: Bombus huntii
Lineage: Eukaryota; Metazoa; Arthropoda; Insecta; Hymenoptera; Apidae
Exons: 2
Source: RefSeq, a predicted model, not a curated record